This 637-nucleotide ribosomal RNA is filed under the name Pleurotus populinus. Its description in RNAcentral is "LSU rRNA". It matches the Rfam family "Eukaryotic large subunit ribosomal RNA", at positions 37 to 676 of the family's 3401-position model. The record is from RNAcentral. Lineage: Eukaryota; Fungi; Basidiomycota; Agaricomycetes; Agaricales; Pleurotaceae.
UGCAUAUCCCAAAAGCGGAGGAAAAGAAACUAACAAGGAUUCCCCUAGUAACUGCGAGUGAAGCGGGAAAAGCUCAAAUUUAAAAUCUGGUGGUCUUUGGCCAUCCGAGUUGUAAUCUAGAGAAGUGUUAUCCGCGCUGGACCGUGUACAAGUCCCCUGGAAUGGGGCGUCAUAGAGGGUGAGAAUCCCGUCUUUGACACGGACUACCAGGGCUUUGUGAUGCACUCUCAAAGAGUCGAGUUGUUUGGGAAUGCAGCUCAAAAUGGGUGGUAAAUUCCAUCUAAAGCUAAAUAUUGGCGAGAGACCGAUAGCGAACAAGUACCGUGAGGGAAAGAUGAAAAGAACUUUGGAAAGAGAGUUAAACAGUACGUGAAAUUGUUGAAAGGGAAACGCUUGAAGUCAGUCGCGUCUGCCAGGGAUCAACCUUACUUUUGUGAGGCGUACUUCCUGGUUGAUGGGUCAGCAUCAGUUUUGGUCGCUGGAUAAAGGUCAGAGAAAUGUGGCACCCUCGGGUGUGUUAUAGUCUUUGAUCAGAUACAGUGGCUGGGACUGAGGAACUCAGCGCCGCAAGGCUGUCUUAGGAUGCUGGCAAAAUGGCUUUAAUCGACCCGUCUUGAAACACGGACAAAGGGAGUCA